RNAcentral lists this ribosomal RNA (253 nucleotides) under uncultured bacterium. RNAcentral describes it as "partial 16S ribosomal RNA". It matches the Rfam family "Bacterial small subunit ribosomal RNA", at positions 524 to 776 of the family's 1533-position model. The record is from RNAcentral.
UACGUAGGGUGCGAGCGUUGUCCGGAAUUAUUGGGCGUAAAGGGCUCGUAGGCGGUUUGUCGCGUCGGGAGUGAAAACCUUGGGCUUAACUCAGGGCUUGCUUUCGAUACGGGCAGACUAGAGGUAUGCAGGGGAGAGCGGAAUUCCUGGUGUAGCGGUGAAAUGCGCAGAUAUCAGGAGGAACACCGGUGGCGAAGGCGGUUCUCUGGGCAUGAUCUGACGCUGAGGAGCGAAAGUGUGGGGAGCGAACAGG